This is a long non-coding RNA of Culex quinquefasciatus (southern house mosquito), 606 nucleotides long. RefSeq lists it as uncharacterized. The record is from RefSeq and is a predicted model, not a curated record. NCBI's taxonomy places the organism in Eukaryota, Metazoa, Arthropoda, Insecta, Diptera, Culicidae. The transcript has 3 exons.
AGUUGUCGAAAUGUUUGCCAGUUGAGUUUCGACAAGCCUGAGAAGAUAAGCCUUCCACUAGCGUCACUGUUUGAAAUAAAACAAAAAUGUGGUGUAAAGUAGCUAAAAAUGAGGCAAAAAUAUACAUUGUCGUGUGCAUUAUUUUUGCAAUCAUCGAAACUGCCCUGCUAGUGGCAUAUAUUUUCACCGAACCCGAGUGGGCACCCAAUUUUAGUGUCGCCCAAGUUGCAGUGGCAAUAGUGCUGAGCCUCAUUUCAAUAGUUGGCUGUUUAUUGCUGUAUCAUGCGAUCCAAAAGGAUAACAUUUUGCAUAUUCAAAUCUAUAUGGGCUACUUUGCAAGCAAAUGUGUGCUGUACUUCAUAGUAAUUUUGCUGAUAAUUAUACAGUCACAAAAUGACAAUCCUAACGAAAAAGUGCGAAUCAGCUCGUAUGUGACUAUGGUUACACUAUUUAUUGUUUAUCCGUGGCACGUGUUAAGAGUGCUCUGGAAAAUCAUUGGAAAUAUUAAACAAGCAAAAACGAACACAAACGGAUAUGGAGUACCGCUAGAAACCAGCAUUAGUCAAUAAGUUGAGCUCAAUUUGUUACCAAAAAAAAUGUGUACUG